This 97-nucleotide signal recognition particle RNA is filed under the name SAR86 cluster bacterium. RNAcentral describes it as "signal recognition particle sRNA small type". It matches the Rfam family "Bacterial small signal recognition particle RNA". From Rfam's summary of the family: The signal recognition particle (SRP) is a universally conserved ribonucleoprotein involved in the co-translational targeting of proteins to membranes. The record is from RNAcentral. Lineage: Bacteria; Pseudomonadati; Pseudomonadota; Gammaproteobacteria.
UGUCGGUCCUUGCGCAAUGAUAAGUUAUUAACUCCGCCAGGCCCGGAAGGGAGCAACGGUACUUUCUGACUCAUGUGCCGCGAUGUGGCUGGCAGGA